Molecule: ribosomal RNA, 497 nt
Filed under: uncultured bacterium
Lineage: Bacteria
Description: partial 16S ribosomal RNA
Rfam family: Bacterial small subunit ribosomal RNA
Source: RNAcentral
GGUUAAUGCUGGGAGGAACCCUGGUACAGGCAAAACGAGCGAACGAACUAGGGGCUUGCUCCUCUGCCGGUAGCGGCGGACGGGUGGGUAACACGUGGGUAACCUACCUAUAAGACUGAGAUAACUUCGGGAAACCGGAGCUAAUACAGGAUAAUAUAUUGAACCGCAUGGUUCAAUAGUGAAAGACGGUUUUGCUGUCACUUAUAGAUGGAUCCGCGCCGCAUUAGCUAGUUGGUAAGGUAACGGCUUACCAAGGCAACGAUGCGUAGCCGACCUGAGAGGGUGAUCGGCCACACUGGAACUGAGACACGGUCCAGACUCCUACGGGAGGCAGCAGUAGGGAAUCUUCCGCAAUGGGCGAAAGCUUGACGGAGCAACGCCGCGUGAGUGAUGAAGGUCUUCGGAUCGUAAAACUCUGUUAUUAGGGAAGAACAAAUGUGUAAGUAACUAUGCACGUCUUGACGGUACCUAAUCAGAAAGCCACGGCUAACUACGUG